Molecule: long non-coding RNA, 1154 nt
Organism: Lutra lutra (Eurasian river otter)
Lineage: Eukaryota; Metazoa; Chordata; Mammalia; Carnivora; Mustelidae
Exons: 5
Source: RefSeq, a predicted model, not a curated record
GCUCGCACUGGCAGCUCUCUCCCCUCCUUCUACAGUUGAGGGCUGCCUCCUCUCCAGCUUAACAUCCAUCCCUCCUUCUCUGCUCACUUUGAUUCUGCUCACUCCUGCCGCCUCAGGAACCUGACCACAUCUCUCUCUUGGUUAUUUGACUCCUCUCUUUCAACUGGCUUUAGACACCCUCAAGCCUUCCUUAACAACAACAAAACAGAAACAAGAAAACGCUGAACUUGACUUCUUCAUCCCGUCGUCCGGAGCUGGCUCCCCAGAACCACCAACAUGGCCACCGACAAGCCAGAGGUACUGCCUCUUGAGGUCGCCGGCUGUCGGGAGCACAGCGAAGCGUGGUUUUUAGAGCAGGGAAGACAAGCUCAGGAUGCAUCAGGAAUUGGAAGUUUGCUUUGAGGACCAAAAGAUGGCUCUAACUUGGCCUGCUAUCAUCCGCGUGCCAGGCUGACUCGAGAGCACCAAUUACCAGCCAGCUGCCUUGGACUCCUCCUCGCCAGGACCAUCUGGAGAAUCUGGCCUGCCCUGGCGCUUCCCUUUCAAGCUUCUCUGUCUUUAGAGCUCCCUCUGGAGAUCAGCAUCAUGGUACCUGGGAAAGGUGUCUUCCACCCACCCCCAGUGGUCCCUCCUCAAGCUCUGGGAGCCCCUCCCUCAGGGAUAGGCCCUUGGGGUCCCUGUCGUCACCCACAGAGCCCAAGGCCACCAGCACUCUCCAGACUGGCCCUGCUGUGACCUGGCCAGCACUAUCCUUAACCACACAGUACUCUGAGAUUCCCCCCCACCCAGAGGAACUCAGGCCACCCCCCUCACCACCCCCUUUCUUUGAAGGACUUUCCCUAUCAAGGACCGAUUAACAGGUACUCACCAGGGAGCCAAGCAGGCUGGGAACCUGGGGUGGCUCAUAAGACGCAGCAAAUGACAGACACCAAGAGAGGAAGGUCAAGGGCAUGUUUAGUUCAGGCGAUAAGAGAUGCUCUGAACACUUCGUGAUUUGUUCCCAGUUUGCCUCAACACCAGGGCCCCAGGCCGCCUCCUGUCAGGUGAGCUCCAGCAGGGAGAUGUCUUGCGGCCACGUGCCUCGGGACAGGUUGUGGAGGCCGGCGGGGGUGAGUUCCAGCCGCAGCUCUGCAGACAGCUGUCCAGGCAUCGAG